UUGCAUCUGAAGUUCAAGAGGAUGAGAAUCUCCGGGGAAGGAGGUUCGACUCGAGCGAAGCGAGAGAACGUUGCGUUAGCAACGGCCCGAAGGGCGAGCCGCGAAGCGGUGAGUCAUCCUCUCUCGCCGACCA
Molecule: small RNA, 133 nt
Filed under: Enterobacter sp. RIT418
Lineage: Bacteria; Pseudomonadati; Pseudomonadota; Gammaproteobacteria; Enterobacterales; Enterobacteriaceae
Also listed under: 1 other name
Description: Enterobacter sp. RIT 418 RtT sRNA
Rfam family: RtT RNA
About the family: This family represents a bacterial cis-regulatory element known as RtT RNA. The exact function of RtT is unknown although it is thought that it may be involved in changing the cellular response in relation to amino acid starvation.
Source: RNAcentral